CCUACGGGCGGCAGCAGUGGGGAAUAUUGCGCAAUGGGCGAAAGCCUGACGCAGCGACGCCGCGUGAGGGAUGAAGGUCUUCGGAUCGUAAACCUCUUUCAGCAGGGAAGAACGGUCACUGUGCUAAUCAGCAGUGAAUUGACGGUACCUGCAAAGGAAGCACCGGCUAACUCCGUGCCAGCAGCCGCGGUAAUACGGAGGGUGCGAGCGUUAAUCGGAAUUAUUGGGCGGAAAGCGCUCGUAGGCGGUAUGUCAAGUCAAGGGUGAAAUCCCCGGGCUCAACGUGGGAACUGCCUUUGAAACUGGCAGACGUGAGUGUGUGAGAGGAUAGUGGAAUUCGAGGUGUAGGAGUGAAAUGCGUAGAUAUCAGGAGGAACAUCAGUGGCGAAGGCGACUAUCUGGCACAUAACUGACGCUGAGGAGCGAAAGCGUGGGUAGCAAACAGGAUUAGAUACCCCAGUAGUC
RNAcentral lists this ribosomal RNA (465 nucleotides) under uncultured bacterium. Its description in RNAcentral is "partial 16S ribosomal RNA". It matches the Rfam family "Bacterial small subunit ribosomal RNA", at positions 338 to 795 of the family's 1533-position model. The record is from RNAcentral.